ACCUGCACUCUACUGCUUACUA
RNAcentral lists this microRNA (22 nucleotides) under Lingula anatina. RNAcentral describes it as "Lan-Mir-252-P1_3p* (star (passenger))". The record is from RNAcentral. Lineage: Eukaryota; Metazoa; Brachiopoda; Lingulata; Lingulida; Lingulidae.